This is a non-coding RNA of Ictidomys tridecemlineatus (thirteen-lined ground squirrel), 69 nucleotides long. The record is from Rfam. NCBI's taxonomy places the organism in Eukaryota, Metazoa, Chordata, Mammalia, Rodentia, Sciuridae.
GGGGUUGUGGCUCAGUGGUAGAGCACUUGCCUAGCAUGUGUGAGGCACUGGGUUCAAUUCUCAGUACCA